GACGAACGCUGGCGGCGUGCUUAACACAUGCAAGUCAGGGGCUCCGCAAGGGGCACCGGCGAACGGGUGCGUAACACGUGAGCGACCUGCCCUGGAGUGGGGGAUAGCCGGCCCAACGGCCGGGUAACACCGCAUACGCCUCCGGCUUGAAAGCCGAGGGGGAAACGGAAGGCUCUAGGAGGGGCUCGCGGCCUAUCAGCUAGUUGGUGCGGUAACGGCGCACCAAGGUGAUGACGGGUAGCUGGUCUGAGAGGAUGGCCAGCCACAUUGGGACUGAGAGACGGCCCAGACUCCUACGGGAGGCAGCAGUGGGGAAUAUUGCGCAAUGGCCGAAAGGCUGACGCAGCGACGCCGCGUGGGGGAGGAAGGCCUUCGGGUUGUAAACCCCUGUUGCUCGGGACGAAUGCCCCUUUCGAGGGGAGUGACGGUACCGGGUGAGGAAGCACCGGCUAACUCUGUGCCAGCAGCCGCGGUAAUACAGAGGGUGCGAGCGUUGUCCG
Molecule: ribosomal RNA, 500 nt
Filed under: uncultured bacterium
Lineage: Bacteria
Description: bacterial SSU rRNA
Rfam family: Bacterial small subunit ribosomal RNA
Source: RNAcentral